This 625-nucleotide ribosomal RNA is filed under the name Escherichia coli. RNAcentral's name for it is "partial 23S ribosomal RNA". It matches the Rfam family "Bacterial large subunit ribosomal RNA", at positions 2180 to 2804 of the family's 2925-position model. The record is from RNAcentral. Lineage: Bacteria; Pseudomonadati; Pseudomonadota; Gammaproteobacteria; Enterobacterales; Enterobacteriaceae. RNAcentral also lists the same sequence under 1 other name.
AUGGAGCCGACCUUGAAAUACCACCCUUUAAUGUUUGAUGUUCUAACGUUGACCCGUAAUCCGGGUUGCGGACAGUGUCUGGUGGGUAGUUUGACUGGGGCGGUCUCCUCCUAAAGAGUAACGGAGGAGCACGAAGGUUGGCUAAUCCUGGUCGGACAUCAGGAGGUUAGUGCAAUGGCAUAAGCCAGCUUGACUGCGAGCGUGACGGCGCGAGCAGGUGCGAAAGCAGGUCAUAGUGAUCCGGUGGUUCUGAAUGGAAGGGCCAUCGCUCAACGGAUAAAAGGUACUCCGGGGAUAACAGGCUGAUACCGCCCAAGAGUUCAUAUCGACGGCGGUGUUUGGCACCUCGAUGUCGGCUCAUCACAUCCUGGGGCUGAAGUAGGUCCCAAGGGUAUGGCUGUUCGCCAUUUAAAGUGGUACGCGAGCUGGGUUUAGAACGUCGUGAGACAGUUCGGUCCCUAUCUGCCGUGGGCGCUGGAGAACUGAGGGGGGCUGCUCCUAGUACGAGAGGACCGGAGUGGACGCAUCACUGGUGUUCGGGUUGUCAUGCCAAUGGCACUGCCCGGUAGCUAAAUGCGGAAGAGAUAAGUGCUGAAAGCAUCUAAGCACGAAACUUGCCCCGAGA